This is a non-coding RNA of Pelobates cultripes (western spadefoot toad), 218 nucleotides long. NCBI's taxonomy places the organism in Eukaryota, Metazoa, Chordata, Amphibia, Anura, Pelobatidae. The record is from the annotation of a GenBank genome assembly.
CCCCAAGUCAGAGUUCAUCUCCCGGUUCAGCCUAUACCAAUUUCGAGUUAUGCCGUUCGGGAUGAAGAACGCUCCGGCCACCUUCCAAUGGAUGGUGGACCGCCUAUUAGAGGGUAUCCAGGACUAUGCGUGUGCCUACCUGGACGAUAUCGCUAUCUAUAGCGAUACCUGGUAGGUACACAUAGAGCACAUAGGGUCAGUGUUAGAUAGGAUUAAGG